RNAcentral lists this long non-coding RNA (271 nucleotides) under Elaeis guineensis (African oil palm). RNAcentral's name for it is "long non-coding RNA (EGUI_LNC037427)". The record is from RNAcentral. Lineage: Eukaryota; Viridiplantae; Streptophyta; Magnoliopsida; Arecales; Arecaceae.
AAGCCAAGCCGAUAAAAGGCUAUAUUGUCUAAAAGUCGAUCAAAGAUUCUUUCUACGUUAGGCCGAUCAAAAAAUAUAUUAUCUAAAAAUCGAUCAAAGACUUCUUCUACAUUGGGCCGAUCAAAGGUCGUGUUGUCCAAAAGUUGAUCAAAGACUCCUUCUACAUUGGGCCGAUCAGAGGCCAUGUUGUCUAAAAGCUGAUCAAAGGCACCUUCUAUGUUGGGCCAAUCAAAGAUCAUGUUAUCUAAAAAUCGAUCAAAGGCUCCUUCUG